UCUUGUAAAGUAAUUUAUACAUUUAGUUUCGACCUAAAAAUAGGUUUGCAAUUUAAAACAAGCUACAAGAA
This 71-nucleotide transfer RNA is filed under the name Pseudomyrmex dendroicus. RNAcentral's name for it is "tRNA-Arg". Lineage: Eukaryota; Metazoa; Arthropoda; Insecta; Hymenoptera; Formicidae. The record is from RNAcentral.